UAAAAGUCGUAACAAGGUUUCCGUAGGUGAACCUGCGGAAGGAUCAUUAAAAAAUUGGACUCCAUUGGUGAGUUCAUUAAUAAUCCCUACCCUUUGUGAAUUUGUUUGUUUGAAUAAUUUUUUUUCCAAAAAAAUUAUUGAAUGUCUUUCCUUGUUUUGGUGGAGCUUGUAAAGUGAAACCAGGCAGGGGAAUGGCAAACAAUAAUUAUUUUGAAAAAGACCUUUUUUAAAAUUAAACUUUUUGUAUUCAUUUGUCUAAAAUUAAUUUUUAUAAUAUAAAAACAACUUUUGACAAUGGAUCUCUUGGUUCUCGCAACGAUGAAGAACGCAGCAAAAUGCGAUAAGUAGUGUGAAUUGCAGAAUACGUGAAUCAUCGAAUCUUCGAACGCAUAUUGCACUUUUUUAGUUUACUAAAAAAGUAUGUCUGUUUGAGUAUCAGUAAAAUAUUCUCAUAAAAAACAUUGUUUUUUUUAUGGUUAUGAGUGUUUUACAACGAUAACAAGUUGUUUCACUUUAAAUUCUUUGUUAUCAAAAAAAUCAUUAAAAGCUAAUUUUAAAGGUUUUUUAAAAUUGGAUAAAAUUUUCCCGUAAAAAGGAAUAACCUAAACAAUUUUAAAAAAUUAAAAUUGGUUUGAUUUUUUUGAAACCCAAAGGAAAAAAACGAAAUUAACUUGAUCUCAAAUCAGAUAAGAGUACCCGCUGAACUUAAGCAUAUCAAUAAGCGGAGGAAAAGAAACUAACUAGGAUUCCUCAGUAACGGCGAGUGAAGCGGGAAGAGCUCAAAUUUGAAAUCUUCAAGGUUUUACCUUGACGAAUUGUAGUUUAAAGAAGUGUUUUCUGUUGGAGUUUUGGUAAAAGUUCUUUGGAAAAGGACAUCAUAGAGGGUGAGAAUCCCGUAUUUGACCAUUAUCUCCAGCUUUGUGAUACGCUUUCAAAGAGUCGGAUUGUUUGGGAAUGCAGUCCAAAAUGGGUGGUAAUUUCAUCUAAAGCUAAAUACUGGCGAGAGACCGAUAGCGAACAAGUACCGUGAGGGAAAGAUGAAAAGAACUUUGAAAGAGAGUUAAACAGUACGUGAAGUUGUCAAAAGGGAAGCGUUUGACACCAGUGUUGUUUUCUCGAAAAUCAAUUAAAAAAGGCCGGAUUUGUGUUGUAUUGACUUUAUCAGCUUUCUGCACUCUUUUCUUGUCUUUUUUAAUGCACUUUUCGUUUAACAAGUCAACAUCAAUUUCUUUUGUUGUAAAAGGGUCAUUGGAAGGUGGCUUUCUUUUCGGAGAAAGUGUUUAUAGCCUUUGGCCUCUGCAAUCGGAGAGAUUGAGGUCUGCAGCGUAGAUCCUUCGGGUUAGAUACAUUUGUGCUAAGUUAUAGCCUUUCAUAGACAACUUGUUGACUAUGAUCAGUCAUGUAGCUUACUCGCUUAUGCUAUUUUACCUACGCUUAGGAUGUUGAG
RNAcentral lists this unclassified non-coding RNA (1447 nucleotides) under uncultured Neocallimastigales. Its description in RNAcentral is "partial contains small subunit ribosomal RNA, internal transcribed spacer 1, 5.8S ribosomal RNA, internal transcribed spacer 2, and large subunit ribosomal RNA". The stretch from base 673 to 1447 matches the Rfam family "Eukaryotic large subunit ribosomal RNA", at positions 1 to 630 of the family's 3401-position model. The record is from RNAcentral. Lineage: Eukaryota; Fungi; Neocallimastigomycota; Neocallimastigomycetes; Neocallimastigales.